Molecule: ribosomal RNA, 229 nt
Filed under: uncultured bacterium
Lineage: Bacteria
Description: partial 16S ribosomal RNA
Rfam family: Bacterial small subunit ribosomal RNA
Source: RNAcentral
UGCGCAGGCGGCUUAUUAAGUCAGUGGUGAAAUCUCUCGGCUCAACCGAGAAACUGCCAUUGAAACUGAUAAGCUUGAGUGUAGUUGUAGUAGGCGGAAUAUAGCAUGUAGCGGUGAAAUGCUUAGAUAUGCUAUAGAACACCGAUCGCGAAGGCAGCUUACUGAACUAUCACUGACGCUCAUGCACGAAAGCGUGGGGAGCAAACAGGAUUAGAUACCCUGGUAGUCC